This 485-nucleotide ribosomal RNA is filed under the name Pilsbryoconcha acuta. RNAcentral's name for it is "partial large subunit ribosomal RNA". It matches the Rfam family "Bacterial large subunit ribosomal RNA", at positions 1816 to 2598 of the family's 2925-position model. Lineage: Eukaryota; Metazoa; Mollusca; Bivalvia; Unionida; Unionidae. The record is from RNAcentral.
UCGUCCUCUGACACCCAGUAUAAAGGAUAAUGCCUGCCCAGUGAAUAUUUAAACGGCCGCGUUAGCGUGAGCGUGCUAAGGUAGCGUAAUAAAUAGCCUCUUAAUUGGAGGCCAGUGAAUGGCAAGACUAGGAACACCUAUACAUUCUACGUCAAAAAAACUUUUCGUCUAAGUGAAAAGACUUAGAUAACCAAGGAAGACGAAAAGACCCCGCGGAGCUUUACUUUUUCUAUAUACAAAUAUCAACAUCUAUAAAUAUCAAAAGUUUGAUUGGGGCAAUCUCGGAACCACCAAGCUUCCGACCACUUAAAGAAACUAAUAAAAAACUUAUUACGGACAAGACAGAAGCUACCCCGGGGAUAACAGCGUCAUCCAACUUGAGAGUACACAUCGAAAGUUGGGUUUGCGACCUCGAUGUUGGCUUAAGGAUAUCCGCAUCAGUGCAGCCGCUAUGCAGGACAGUCUGUUCGACUAUUAUACCCUUA